CCUACGGGGUGCAGCAGUGAGGAAUAUUGGUCAAUGGACGAGAGUCUGAACCAGCCAAGUAGCGUGAAGGAUGACUGCCCUAUGGGUUGUAAACUUCUUUUAUAUGGGAAUAAAACGUUCCACGUGUGGGAUUUUGUAUGUACCAUAUGAAUAAGGAUCGGCUAACUCCGUGCCAGCAGCCGCGGUAAUACGGAGGAUCCGAGCGUUAUCCGGAUUUAUUGGGUUUAAAGGGAGCGUAGGUGGAUUGUUAAGUCAGUUGUGAAAGUUUGUGGCUCAACCGUAAAAUUGCAGUUGAAACUGGCAGUCUUGAGUACAGUAGAGGUGGGCGGAAUUCGUGGUGUAGCGGUGAAAUGCUUAGAUAUCACGAAGAACUCCGAUUGUGAAGGCAGUUCACUGGACUGCAACUGACACUGAGGCUCGAAAGUGUGGGUAUCAAACAGGAUUAGAUACCCGGGUAGUC
This 460-nucleotide ribosomal RNA is filed under the name uncultured bacterium. RNAcentral describes it as "partial 16S ribosomal RNA". It matches the Rfam family "Bacterial small subunit ribosomal RNA", at positions 338 to 795 of the family's 1533-position model. The record is from RNAcentral.